AGUCAGUGGCCCUGGCCGGCUCAGACAGGACUCUGUUCUCUCCAGCUCUCCCAUGAGAAGAACACGGUGCUGGGCUUUCGGGUUCACAGGAUGCUGCAGGCGGAGUUCCUGCAGGCCGCCCUGGUCACCAUCUACGACUACUACGAGCCUUUGUACAAGACAAAGCUGGAAUCUGUGGAGGUCUCUGCCUCCAACCCUUACGUCUAUUACAACACGCAGCUCGAAGACAUCAUUAAGAGUGGUACGGACCCUGCCACACCCCUGGCCAUGAAGAAAUUCGUCUCCCAUGCCACUUGCCAUGACUCCCUGGGGUUGCAAGAACAGGAAUCGUACCUCAUCAUGGGCCAGACGUCAGACCUGUGGAGAAUCAAAUCUGAUUACAGCUAUGUUCUGGGCAAGGAGACGUUCCUCAUCCUUUGGCCAGCAGAUGGAGAUGCCAGCAAGAAAGAAUUGCGGGACCAACUGGAGGAAUUUUUGGAAUAUAUGCGCACCCACGGCUGCCAGUCCUGAGCCUCUUCUGCUUUCAGGGAGGUGUCAUCAGGCAGCUCUGGGCCACUGGGUUUAACCCCAAAUAAAGAGCACAGGAUAUGACACCCAAA
Homo sapiens (human) is the source of this 599-nucleotide long non-coding RNA. Ensembl annotates it as complement component 3 precursor pseudogene. Its record names the gene C3P1. NCBI's taxonomy places the organism in Eukaryota, Metazoa, Chordata, Mammalia, Primates, Hominidae. The record is from Ensembl.